GAAAUGCGAUAAGUAAUGUGAAUUGCAGAAUUCAGUGAAUCAUCGAAUCUUUGAACGCACAUUGCGCCCGCCAGCACUCUGGGGGGCAUGCCUGUCCGAGCGUCAUUGCUGCCCUUCAAGCCCGGCUUGUGUGUUGGGUCGUCGUCCCCUCCGGGGGACGGGCCCGAAAGGCAGCGACGGCACCGCGUCCGGUCCUCGAGCGUAUGGGGCUUUGUCACCCGCUCGAUAAGGACCGGCCGGGCGCCAGCCGGCGUCUCCAACCUUUUUUUCUCAGGUUGACCUCGGAUCAGGUAGGGAUACCCGCUGAACUUAAGC
RNAcentral lists this unclassified non-coding RNA (315 nucleotides) under plant metagenome. RNAcentral describes it as "partial contains 5.8S ribosomal RNA, internal transcribed spacer 2, and large subunit ribosomal RNA". The stretch from base 1 to 105 matches the Rfam family "5.8S ribosomal RNA", at positions 50 to 154 of the family's 154-position model. The record is from RNAcentral.